UACGUAGGGUGCAAGCGUUAAUCGGAAUUACUGGGCGUAAAGCGCGCGUAGGUGGUUUGUUAAGUUGGAUGUGAAAGCCCCGGGCUCAACCUGGGAACUGCAUCCAAAACUGGCAAGCUAGAGUAUGGCAGAGGGUGGUGGAGUUUCCUGUGUAGCGGUGAAAUGCGUAGAUAUAGGAAGGAACACCAGUGGCGAAGGCGACCACCUGGGCUAAUACUGAC
RNAcentral lists this ribosomal RNA (221 nucleotides) under uncultured bacterium. RNAcentral's name for it is "partial 16S ribosomal RNA". It matches the Rfam family "Bacterial small subunit ribosomal RNA", at positions 524 to 744 of the family's 1533-position model. The record is from RNAcentral.